CAACCAUUUCAUGUUGAAACACUGGUUCUCAUAUGAUCACCAAAGUUAAGCAAUGUUGAGCCUGGUCAGUUUCUAGAUGGGUACCACUUGGGAAUACCAGGUGCUGUAAG
This is a non-coding RNA of Acanthosepion pharaonis, 110 nucleotides long. The record is from the annotation of a GenBank genome assembly. NCBI's taxonomy places the organism in Eukaryota, Metazoa, Mollusca, Cephalopoda, Sepiida, Sepiidae.